Molecule: transfer RNA, 81 nt
Filed under: Treponema bryantii
Lineage: Bacteria; Pseudomonadati; Spirochaetota; Spirochaetia; Treponematales; Treponemataceae
Also listed under: 1 other name
Description: tRNA-Tyr
Rfam family: tRNA
About the family: Transfer RNA (tRNA) molecules are approximately 80 nucleotides in length.
Source: RNAcentral
GGGGAGUUCGCAUAGCGGCAAUUGCAAGGGACUGUAAAUCCCUCGGGUUUCCCUCCGUAGGUUCGAGUCCUACACUCCCCA